GAAAAAAAAAAAGAAUAGGAAAAAAAUAAGAUGAUUCCUUGGAUAAUCAGAGUCAGAAUUUCUUUGACUCUCUGGAGAAAAAUCCCAUGCUAGCUCCCUCACAUUUUUUUUCCUUCAGCAGCCUGUAUUAGAGUGUGAAAAAGCAGCAGGAGGAGAAAAAAGUCUGUAAUUUUAAUGGGACUACGGAGACCACUUUGAAAUAUUGAACAUUUCCAUGAGAACAAAUAGCUUCUACCUGAUGUCAUAGCCGCUUGUUCUCUUUAAGGAUCCAAGCGAGUAGGCGAGUUUUCCUGACGUAGGAUAUGGUUGGGUCCUUCAGGACAUUGAAGGAUGUCACUCGUGGGGCAUGGUCGACUCCCUGGACUGUGCCUGUUCCCUGAGACAGGACUUUGAUUUCAGCGUUCCUUUCUCUAAAGCCACGGUCACUGCAGCCCAGCAGUGACUCAAGCAGAUGGCUGUUGGUGACAAGCCUCUUCUGAUUGGUAAUAAAAAUACCAGAAGCUACACUGCAUUGUGUACAAAUACGUGAGGCUAUUGCAGAUUCCUUUGUAUCUCUAGAUUCUAUUUUGAGAGCCGGUUGAUCUUCUCCAUGCAGAACCCUCACAGAAUGAGCAAUCACGCCAGGACUCCUGGGUUCAUGACACACCAACCAUCACCCCAGCACCCGACUCCUCUUCUUCCAUUGGACUCUGCCCUCAAGCCUGCAGCAUAUAGCCAAAGAAACACAACUCAUGAGCCCUGGGGAAGCUGGUUCGCCUGUCUAGAAGCCGUCCUCAAAGUCUCCUGGGCACUUCCCCAAGUCUCCCCGGCCUGUUUGUCUCUGCACACACAGAUUGCUUUCUCCUGACCGCUUGCAGCCCUGUCUUUACUUGGCCAUUAAUUGUACAUCAUCCCUGACAUCUUUUACCGUGUUCUGCUAUAUUUUUAUUUAUUAUUGAUUCUACACAUGCCUAACAUUUGCUAAGUCCAAACCAUGUGCUGACAGCACUUAGCAAUGGUCUUGCUGAAGGGAUAAAAGACUAUUAAAUUGGGUUGAAACAUCUAGUUUUAAACCGUUAUAGAGUGCAUGCUCAAACAGAAUCAGGAACCAAAGGCAUAUUUGUUUAAAA
RNAcentral lists this long non-coding RNA (1109 nucleotides) under Felis catus (domestic cat). RNAcentral's name for it is "lncRNA (ENSFCAG00000048942.1)". The record is from RNAcentral. Lineage: Eukaryota; Metazoa; Chordata; Mammalia; Carnivora; Felidae.